Bufo bufo (common toad) is the source of this 1539-nucleotide long non-coding RNA. RefSeq lists it as uncharacterized. The record is from RefSeq and is a predicted model, not a curated record. The transcript has 3 exons. Lineage: Eukaryota; Metazoa; Chordata; Amphibia; Anura; Bufonidae.
ACACAGCCAUAUGUAUUAUACAGAUGGGAGCAGUCUGGCUCAACAAAUGGAAUUAUUUUCUGUCAGAUGUCAAAUUCAGAUAUCAGAAUGCUUGUCUAAUAAAAUCUUACCACCAAGGGCCAACCAAGUAAAAAAAAAAAAACUGUACACUUACAAUGUAAAAUAAUUUUAUUUGCUUAUGCAAAAUACAAAAGCAGAAAAGGUUGCAGAUGAAUUUAUGCAUGUACAUCUUACAGCCAAAGUACAGUUCCAGUGUAGAGUACAUUCUAGAACAGAAACACAACUGCAAUUGCAUACUCAAUUCAAAAGAUACAAACAUUUUUAGAAACCCGCCACUUUUUUAUGCACAAUGUAAAGAGGUUUUGCCAAAUGGCACAAUAGUAAACAAAAAGGAAUUACAGAUCAUGGCAGUCCAGCUUUGACAAACCAAAUAAAAUAAAGCAAUACACCAUUCUAUACGUAGAAAUUUAUACACCUCGGCAUAGGAGAAAUCAAACUGUAACCAAGUAGCUUGUAGGGCUCCUUUUCUGGCAAAAGUGUUUGUACAUUGUAAGGCCAUCCAGGUAUUGUAUGUAUUUAUUAGAAACUCUAAAAAGGGCUGAAACAGCUUUAAGGCUUUAUGCAUGAAUUUGUGAGAUUUAGGUAAUGCAUUGCUUAGAUUUUAUCCAUCAGACCAUAUGGCCUACAGAGGAACGUAAAUAUUUGUCCAACUAAAGUAAAUGGGCCACAUUUACUAAACUUGUCUAAUAUUUAGACAGUGUAACCUUAGACCAGACAGUGUAAUGAUGUGGCAAAUUUAUCAAAGUGGCUCAAGUUGAAUGAUAAAUUUGGUGCUUCUUUAGACUGCCUGCAUUGGUUGGCUUACUGAGUGGAAAGAUUUUGUGCUGAAUUUUGGUGAAUAUUAGCACCCUUUCCACUAAUCCUCACCCCCUGUCGAACGAGGCACAAAAAGUAUGUAAAUGGCUGUCAGAAUGGUAGUAAUCUGCUCUGCUGUGUCUGGAGAGUUCAUUAUGGGAAAAAUCCUAUGAUUUAUCAGACUGGAUAUAUUUCUAGCAGUCUAUGUAAAGCGUUCCAAGGCUAGCUAAAUGUUUAAAGUUUUUUCCUUUUGCAUAAGUAGUCCAAAAGGUAAAGUCUGUUUGCAAAAAAAGAUGUGCUGUGGAUGCAGUUUUCACUCUUUGCAUUGUAAUGGGUGCCUUAAAUAAAACUGUGAACUCUAGUGCAUGAUCCAGAUUUCAAAACCCACAGCACAUAAAGUGUGCUUUUCAUGUAUUCUGAUGUGUCAUUUUGGUGCAGAAUCCACAAAAAUCUACAACUUGUGAAUAUGGCCUAACAGAAUAAAUGAAAUGAUUUGUUUACGAUAAUUUCAAUGACCCAGUGAGAGACAAGUUCUAAGGAUUGUCCAGGAAAAAUAUCUUUAAAAUGUAACAACCAGUAGGGUGGAAAUACAUAAAAAAGGGCUAUAUCCACCUCAAGGAUCCCCCACCACUGCUGAUCCAGGGAUGCCCGGUCUCCUGCUGAUUUUCUCUUUUCUGCUGCACC